This 235-nucleotide unclassified non-coding RNA is filed under the name Necromortierella dichotoma. RNAcentral's name for it is "partial internal transcribed spacer 2". The record is from RNAcentral. Lineage: Eukaryota; Fungi; Mortierellomycota; Mortierellomycetes; Mortierellales; Mortierellaceae.
AACACCUCAAAUCUCUUGUUUCUUGUGAAUAAGAGAAUUGGACUUGAGCAAUCCCAACUCUUGCAAAAGAGGCGGGUUGCUUGAAAUGCAGGUGCAGCUGGACAUUCUUCUGAGCUAAAAGCAUAUUUAUUUAGUCCCGUAAAACGGAUUAUUACUUUUGCUGCAGCUAACAUAAAGGUUGAAUGGCCAAUAUGGCUGACUGAUGCAGGAUUAACAGAGAAUUUAUUCUUUGUAA